This 617-nucleotide ribosomal RNA is filed under the name Micropercops swinhonis. RNAcentral describes it as "partial 16S ribosomal RNA". It matches the Rfam family "Bacterial large subunit ribosomal RNA", at positions 1796 to 2620 of the family's 2925-position model. RNAcentral also lists the same sequence under 1 other name. Lineage: Eukaryota; Metazoa; Chordata; Actinopteri; Gobiiformes; Odontobutidae. The record is from RNAcentral.
UCGCCUGUUUAUCAAAAACAUCGCCUCUUGCAAACUCACCAUAUAAGAGGUCCCGCCUGCCCUGUGACUAACAAGUUUAACGGCCGCGGUAUUUUGACCGUGCGAAGGUAGCGUAAUCACUUGUCUUUUAAAUGAAGACCUGUAUGAAUGGCAUAACGAGGGCUAAGCUGUCUCCUUUUCCUGGUCAAUGAAAUUAAUCUUCCCGUGCAGAAGCGGGAAUAACAGCAUAAGACGAGAAGACCCUAUGGAGCUUUAGACAAAAGGAAGCCCAUGUAAAAACACCUAGAUCAAUAGAAUUAACCAACUGGUGUCUCCCCUCUUGUCUUUGGUUGGGGCGACCGCGGGGGAACAAAAAUCCCCCACAUGGAACAGGAGCUUACUCCUCAAAACCAGAGCCACAGCUCUAGUAAACAGAAUAUCUGACCUACAAGAUCCGGCAAGGCCGAUCAAUGGACCCAGUUACCCUAGGGAUAACAGCGCAAUCCCCUUUUAGAGCCCAUAUCGACAAGGGGGUUUACGACCUCGAUGUUGGAUCAGGACAUCCUAAUGGUGCAGCCGCUAUUAAGGGUUCGUUUGUUCAACGAUUAAAGUCCUACGUGAUCUGAGUUCAGACCAGA